RNAcentral lists this long non-coding RNA (1357 nucleotides) under Zonotrichia albicollis (white-throated sparrow). RNAcentral's name for it is "lncRNA (ENSZALG00000000132.1)". Lineage: Eukaryota; Metazoa; Chordata; Aves; Passeriformes; Passerellidae. The record is from RNAcentral.
UCCCCCCAAUUUCCCCAUGUUUUUCCCAUGUUUAUCCCAUGUUUAUCCCAUGUUUAUCCCAUGUUUCCCCCUCAGGAGAAGAGCGAGGCGGAUCAGGAGCGGCUCCGCGCCGCCCUGGUGCUCCCCCCAUUUCCCAUGGUUUUUCCCAUGGUUUAUCCCAUGUUUUUCCCAUGGUUUAUCCCAUGUUUUUCCCCAUAUUUUCCCCCAAUUUUUCCCAUGUUUUUUCCCAAAGUUUCCCCCCAAUUUUUCAAUGUUUUUCCCCAUAUUUCCCUCCCAAUUUUUCCAUCUUUUUCCCCAUGUUUCCCCCCAAUUUCCCCAUGUUUUUCCCAUGUAUUAUCCCAUGUUUUUCCCAUGGUUUAUCCCAUGUUUAUCCCAUGUUUUUCCCAUGUUUUUCCCCCCCAGGAGAGGAGCGAGGCCAAUCAGGAGCGGCUCCGCGCCGCCCUGGUGCUCCCCCCAUUCUCCCAUGGUUUAUCCCAUGUUUUUCCCAUGGUUUAUCCCAUGUUUAUCCCAUGUUUUUCCCAUGGUUUAUCCCAUGUUUUUCCCAUGUUUCCCCCCCAGGAGAAGAGCGAGGUGGAUCAGGAGAGGCUCCGCACCGCCCUCGUGCUCCCCCCAUUUCCCAUGUUUUUCCCAUGGUUUUCCCCAUAUUUUCCCCCCAAUUUCCCCAUGUUUAUCCCAUGUUUUUCCCAUGGUUUAUCCCGUGGUUUAUCCCAUGUUUUUCCCCAUAUUUUCCCCCCAAUUUCCCCAUGUUUUUCCCAUGGUUUGUCGCAUAUUUAUCCCAUGUUUUUCCCCAUAUUUUCCCCCCAAUUUCCCCAUGGUUUAUCCCAUAUUUAUCCCAUGUUUAUCCCAUGUUUUUCCCCCCCAGGAGCGCAGCGAGGUGGAUCAGGAGCGGCUCCGCGCCAUGUUUUUCCCAUGUUUUAUCACAUAUUUAUUUCAUGUUUUUCCCAUGUUUUUCCCAUGUUUUUCCCAUGGUUUAUCCCAUAUUUAUCCCGUGUUUUUCCCCCCAGGAGCGCAGCGAGGCGGAUCAGGAGCGGCUCCGCGCCGCCCUGGUGCUCCCCCCCUUUCCCAUGGUUUAUCCCAUGGUUUAUCUGAUAUUUAUCCCAUGUUUAUCCCAUGUUUAUCCCAUGUUUCCCCCCAGGAGCGCAGCGAGGCGGAUCAGGAGCGGCUCCGCGCCGCCCUGGUGCUCCCCCCAUUUCCCAUGUUUUUGCCAUGGUUUAUUCCAUGUUUUAUCCCAUAUUUAUCCCAUGUUUUUCCCAUGUUUUUCCCCAUAUUUUCCCCCCAAUUUCCCCAUGUUUUUCCCAUGGUUUAUCCCAUGUUUUUCCCAUGGUUUAUCUCAUGUUUCCCCCUCAGGAGCGCAGCG